Molecule: long non-coding RNA, 925 nt
Organism: Capsicum annuum
Lineage: Eukaryota; Viridiplantae; Streptophyta; Magnoliopsida; Solanales; Solanaceae
Exons: 3
Source: RefSeq, a predicted model, not a curated record
AAAGCUUUACUGCUUUAGUUUGCAAAUUGCAAUUGCAUCUGCUUCUCCUCCUCACUCCGUAGCCUUCAACAAAAAGUUGGUCAAAACUCAAAAACGAAGAACGAAAGAAACAACGUAGUACAAACGGGAAAAGGGAAUCAGUCACCUGUCUAACGAGAAACGGUAACAGCGGCGAAUGAAGGAAGAUGAAAUUCUAGAGAAAGCACUACCGGGACUGUUCGGUGAGUCAAGGCAAGAAGUGUUGAUAAUUUCAUUAGCAUCUAGGCUCACGGUGAGUGAGACACCAUUUGCUUCAACAUUUGACUGGCCAGCAGUUGCAUCUCACCUGCCUAGAUCCUUCAAGAGAAACUUAUUUACUUUGAGUAUCGACUGGUGCGAUAGAGGAUGCCAAGCAACAUCUGGCAGGAAAAGAAUGCCAAAUAGCUAGAAGAACAAGUUUACCAUGAUAGGGUGGCCAUAUCAGGAAAGAUAGAGUGAGAAAUGAGAUUAUUCGGAAGAAGGUGGAGGUGACUUUGGUGGAGGACAAGAUGCGAGAAGUGCAGUUACGUUGGUUCGGGCACGUGAUAAGGAGGGGCUCUGAUGCUCUAGUGCGGAGGUGUGAGUCACUGGCUAUGGAUGGUUUUAGGUGGGGUAGAGGUAGGCUGACGAAAUAUUGAAGGGAGGUGAUUAGGCAUGAUAUGGAGUAGUUACAGCUAACAGAGGACAUGACCCUUGAUAGGAAGGUGUGGAGGAUGCGGAUUAGGGUAGAGGGUUAGGGGGUGAGAGCGUUUCUUUAUUUGUGUUUGAAGUUUCUUAUUCGUGGGUGUUCAGUGAUAUCUAUGUUUUCGGUUAGGUAGUUUUUUAGUAGUAUCUGGUGGCUGUUAUAUUACCUUGUGGAUACCGAUGUUAGUUUAUUUUGCAUAAUGUACUAGUUUACGUGCAUUUA